This 783-nucleotide ribosomal RNA is filed under the name uncultured Actinomycetes bacterium. RNAcentral's name for it is "bacterial SSU rRNA". It matches the Rfam family "Bacterial small subunit ribosomal RNA", at positions 561 to 1343 of the family's 1533-position model. Lineage: Bacteria; Bacillati; Actinomycetota; Actinomycetes. The record is from RNAcentral.
UAAAGAGCUCGUAGGCGGUCUGUCACGUCGGCUGUGAAAACCCGAGGCUCAACCUCGGGCCUGCAGUCGAUACGGGCAAACUAGAGUACUGCAGGGGAGACUGGAAUUCCUGGUGUAGCGGUGAAAUGCGCAGAUAUCAGGAGGAACACCGGUGGCGAAGGCGGGUCUCUGGGCAGUAACUGACGCUGAGGAGCGAAAGUGNGGGGAGCGAACAGGAUUAGAUACCCUGGUAGUCCACGCCGUAAACGUUGGGCGCUAGAUGUGGGGCUCAUUCCACGAGUUCCGUGUCGCAGCUAACGCAUUAAGCGCCCCGCCUGGGGAGUACGGCCGCAAGGCUAAAACUCAAAGGAAUUGACGGGGGCCCGCACAAGCGGCGGAGCAUGUUGCUUAAUUCGAUGCAACGCGAAGAACCUUACCUAGGCUUGACAUGCACGGAAAUCUCCCAGAGAUGGGAGGUCCUUUAAAGGGUCGUGCACAGGUGGUGCAUGGUUGUCGUCAGCUCGUGUCGUGAGAUGUUGGGUUAAGUCCCGCAACGAGCGCAACCCUCGUUCUAUGUUGCCAGCACGUCAUGGUGGGGACUCAUAGGAGACUGCCGGGGUCAACUCGGAGGAAGGUGGGGAUGACGUCAAAUCAUCAUGCCCCUUAUGUCUAGGGCUGCAAACAUGCUACAAUGGCCGGUACAAAGGGCUCGAUACCGCGAGGUGGAGCGAAUCCCAAAAAGCCGGUCUCAGUUCGGAUUGGGGUCUGCAACUCGACCCCAUGAAGUUGGAGUCGCUAGUAAUC